RNAcentral lists this ribosomal RNA (440 nucleotides) under uncultured bacterium. RNAcentral describes it as "partial 16S ribosomal RNA". It matches the Rfam family "Bacterial small subunit ribosomal RNA", at positions 338 to 795 of the family's 1533-position model. The record is from RNAcentral.
CCUACGCGAGGCAGCAGUGGGGGAUAUUGCACAAUGGGGGAAACCCUGAUGCAGCGACGCCGCGUGUGGGAAGACGGUCCUCUGGAUUGUAAACCACUGUCGCCAGGGACGAAGAUGACGGUACCUGGGGAGGACGCUCCGGCUAACUACGUGCCAGCACCCGCGGUAUUACGUGGGGAGCGGGCGUUGUCGGGAAUUACUGGGUGUAAAGGGAGGGUGGGCGGGGAUGCAAGUUGGGGGUAAAAACUACCGGCUAAACUGGUAGUCGCACUCAAAACUGCAGCGCUGGAGUGAAGUAGAGGCAGGCGGAAUUCCUAGUGUAGCGGUGAAAUGCGUAGAUAUUAGGAGGAACACCAGUGGCGAAGGCGGCCUGCUGGACUUUGACUGACGCUGAGGCUCGAAAGUGUGGGGAGCAAACAGGAUUAGAUACCCUUGUAGUC